GGCGGCGGCGGCGGCGUGAGGCGGGCGCGGUGGGGGCGCCUCGGUCGCGGAGAUAGUGCGGUGCUGCGCGCCUGGAGCUCCCCUCCCCUCCCCCCUCCCCGGGCGCGGGCGGCGGAGCUGGCCCCGCGAUGCAAGAUCAGCAUAUCCUGACAGAAAGGGAAAUGAAAGAUGGAAACAUGUUAACUACUGCUUGUAAUAGUAGAAGGUAAGACUGAAAUUUUGAUUGUCUUGAAACUUCUAUUUAUGCCCAUUAAUCAAGUUUGAAAUUGGCUUCUUCAGUAAAUAAACAACAAUAGACAAUGGUUUUUACCUUUCA
RNAcentral lists this long non-coding RNA (316 nucleotides) under Dromaius novaehollandiae (emu). RNAcentral describes it as "lncRNA (ENSDNVG00000005788.1)". Lineage: Eukaryota; Metazoa; Chordata; Aves; Casuariiformes; Dromaiidae. The record is from RNAcentral.